GCCUUCGUGGUGUAGUGGUCUGCAUGCCAGGUUGUGAUCCUGGAGGUACCGGUUCGAUCCCGGUCGGGGGCC
RNAcentral lists this transfer RNA (72 nucleotides) under Actinomadura sp. KC345. It matches the Rfam family "tRNA". Rfam says of the family: Transfer RNA (tRNA) molecules are approximately 80 nucleotides in length. RNAcentral also lists the same sequence under 2 other names. The record is from Rfam by way of RNAcentral. Lineage: Bacteria; Bacillati; Actinomycetota; Actinomycetes; Streptosporangiales; Thermomonosporaceae.